UUUUUUUUUUUUUUUUUUUUUUUUUUGGCUUUUUGCCAUUUCUUGGGCCACUCCCGCGGCAUAUGGAGGUUCCCAGGCUAGGGGUCUAAUCGGAGCUGUAGCCCCCAGCCUACACCAGAGCCACAGCAACGCGAGGUCCGAGCCGCGUCUGCAACCUACACCACAGAUUAGGGCAACGCCGGAUUGUUAACCCACUGAGCAAGGCCAGGGAUCGAACCCGCAACCUCGUGGUUCCUAGUCGGAUUCGUUAACCACUGCGCCACGACAGAAACUCCUAAAUGCAUUUUCAACAUGAUAUUUUCAACUUACUAUAGUUUAUUAUAGUUUAUCGGGACAUAACCUCAUAUAAGACAAGGAAGAUCUAUAUUUUUUGUGAUUGUUGUUAUAGAAUAUCACCAUUUUAAAUUUGUUUUUCUUCCUGUACCAGGAGAUCAAGAAAACAUAUUAAUUCAGAGAAGUUUCUUUGGUUUGGGGAGAAAUCACUCCAUUGGUUCUGGCAUAUAAAAAUUAGAAUCCCUGUUCUAGAAAAAGAUUAUAAUACAACAGUGUUUUGGCUUAACAGCGGGGGACACAUCUUUUACCAAACGGUAUGCAAGACUUUAAAAUUAUUGAAAACAUAGUAAGCAUAAUUGCAAAAGGGACGCAGAGAAAUAUUGGGGAAAAAGAAAGAAUAGAAAAAAAAAGAAAAUUAAUUGUUUUGGGAAGUUAGGGUUAUUAGAAUAUUUCUGGUGGAUUGAAAGUGCUCCUGAAAAAGGCUAUCUGGAAGAAACUGAAAUUAAAAAAAAAAAAAAAAAAAUCCUCAAAAGACAAUUCCACGGAAUAAGUAUAGAGCCUAGAUUUGCAACCAUCAAAAAGUACAUUUUUAUGAGGCCAGAUAUGGGCAAGUACACGGCUAAAUCUACACAAGUUUACUGACAUGGCCAGCAUAAGAUUGUGAAUUUGCUGAUAGAAAAGACGGUAUGUGACUCCAAAUAAAAAGCCCAGAGCUUCUAAACUCAGGCUUGCCUUGACUGGAAUGAGCCAGAGGACAGGCUGUCUCUUCCUUUACUGCCCACAGUUAAAACAUAAGACCUUUCCUUCAUGGUGGCAAUGGUGUCCUCAUUAAAGCAAUGCACUGAACAGAACUGGAUCAUGUUUGUUUGUUGACAGAUGCGGGUCCUCCAGUGUUUCCUCUGUAAUGAAUGCUUGGCACCAAGACCAACACUUUGGACAAACAAGUUUUCAGAUAAAAGUACUGUAUCUUAGAGCUCAGAUGAGGCGUCCUCAGCACUGGGAGGUUUGCCAUGAUAAUGAGGAAGAGGCAAGGUGUGACUUACCAUACACAUAUAGCUAAUUCUCAGGCUAUUUCCACUGGCUUCUCACUCCAGCGGCAAUUAUGGUGACAGUAAUGAGUACAAAAUCACCUUGGUUUGGCCAGAUAACUGCUGUUUACAUCAUUUAGGGAACAUACCAGGGUGCUGGCUUAUCCUGUAGCCACUAACUCAGGCAGUGCUUGUAGCAUCUUUGAGCUCCAUUCAUGAGGCUGAGUGAUGAGGCUAUAAUGAUGUCAGUAAACAUCCUGGAGAUGUGAGUUAUUACAGAUGUGCUGACCCACUGGAGAAGAGAAGAAUAAACGAGGGUUAAAUUAGUUUCAAUUUAAUAACAAUAAUAAACAAUCAUUGUGAUCUAGAGAAU
Molecule: long non-coding RNA, 1674 nt
Filed under: Sus scrofa (pig)
Lineage: Eukaryota; Metazoa; Chordata; Mammalia; Artiodactyla; Suidae
Description: lncRNA (ENSSSCG00015066852.1)
Source: RNAcentral